GCCGGGGUAGCAAAGCCAGGUAAUGCGCACGCCUUGAGAGCGUGUGGCCCUCUGGGCCCCGGGAGUUCAAAUCUCCCCCCCGGCGCCA
RNAcentral lists this transfer RNA (88 nucleotides) under Hadesarchaea archaeon. RNAcentral describes it as "tRNA-Ser". It matches the Rfam family "tRNA". Rfam says of the family: Transfer RNA (tRNA) molecules are approximately 80 nucleotides in length. Their secondary structure includes four short double-helical elements and three loops (D, anti-codon, and T loops). Lineage: Archaea; Methanobacteriati; Hadarchaeota (SeqCode); Hadarchaeia (SeqCode). The record is from RNAcentral.